Lynx canadensis (Canada lynx) is the source of this 841-nucleotide long non-coding RNA. RefSeq lists it as uncharacterized. Lineage: Eukaryota; Metazoa; Chordata; Mammalia; Carnivora; Felidae. The transcript has 3 exons. The record is from RefSeq and is a predicted model, not a curated record.
UCCCGUCUCUUCUACCCGAACCCCCCCUCCCCCCCCCAGCAGAGAGACCCCAGCAGCAGCAGCAGCUGAUGAUGAAGAGAGAGGCAGUGGCAGAGGGGGGGCACCUUUUAUUUCUAUUUUUAAAGGGACAGGACACUAAUUUUACCCCACUUCAACCUUGAAUUGAGGGGGGUGGGGGGAAGGCGGCUGAGUUCCUUCCCCCACCCUCCAGCCCUGAGACCUGAGAGGGGGAUUGAGCCUGAGAGAGAAGAAGAAGGAGUUUCUUCUUCUUCGAAAACCCCCAUCCACGACUCCUACCCCCUCACCCCUCCACUAGCCUCCCUCCCGAGCCCCCUCCACCCUCCUCCUCUUUGGCCGUGAGAGGAGGAGAGAAAGAGACCAAAAGCCUCUUAGCAACACAGACCCUUCUCUGCUGCUGCUGCUGCUGCUACUGCUGCUGCUGCUUGGCCCUGGCUGGAGACAUCUCACUACACCCAGGAGCAGCCACUUCCCCAGCUCUCCUCCUCCUUCGCCUCCUCCUCCUCCACUCCCCCCCCUUUAUUACCCUUUGUGUCAUCCUCCACAGCUCCAGGGAAGGCACUCAAAAGUGGGGGGCAGGAAAGAUGCUUAUUGAGGAUGCCAGUUUCUGCAUAUGGGAAGUAGAUAUUGAAGGUUAUAUGGUUUACAGACAAGAUCUUUAAAAUAUAGAUACUCAAGGACCAAGGAAACAAAUAUCAGAAGCCAAGAGCACAGAAUACUUUCUUUCAUCAAUCCAUAGAACCCUGAUACUUCUCUAAUUCCAUCACACACAAAGGAAUGACCACCUUGGCAGAUGGCCACAAAGGAUGUCAACAAUUCUUUG